GGUUCACGCAUGAACGACCAGCGAGCCUCACUACCGCAGUUUCCAGGUCUCAACUCCCAAGCCGUUAUCAACCAAUACCUCCGCGAGAGAAACGUUAACGACGUACCAGACGACAGCUUCUUUGAAAUGCUCAUGCGUUGUCAGGGAUCCCGGAUUGAUGAUCAGCGUAGUGCCCUACCACACAACCGCCCCGCCCCAACCGUCCCAGACGAAGAUUUCUUCGGGCUGAUCCAGAAGGUCCAGUCAAGCCGUCUGGAGGAGCAGAUAACCAGUCUACCCGAUAAGGAUGAAAUCUCGCCUCCCCAACAGGCCUCCGUGAAGAAGAAAAAGAAAUAAUGACUAUUCUAGUUUGAGUCCCAUAUGAGCGAGCAAGGAAUCAGGGGAUUAGGCUUUCAACUGGAUCAGCUUUUUAGAUGUUUUUAGAUGAAAUACUUGCGCUGAACCCUUGGAAUAUAAACUGCGUAUUUAGAUGAGAUAGUCUUGCGCUGAACCCUUGGAAUAUAAACUGCGUAUUUAGAUGAGAUAGUCUUGCGCUGAACCCUUGGAAUAUAAACUGCGUAUUUAGAUGAGAUAGUCUUGCGCUGAACCCUUGGAAUAUAAACUGCGUAUUUAGAUGAGAUAGUCUUGCGCUGAACCCUUGGAAUAUAAACUUCUACUGGCUGGAAUUGAGGGUUUUGUGCAAAAUUGUAUCAGAUAUUUAAUGUAUCAGUUAUAAGAAAUGUUUUGCUCUUAAAUUAUGUGAGAUAUUGACUGCUACUGGUCAGAAGUUCUGCAUGGAGAUUAUGAGAUUGGACGAACGGAAUGAUUUGGUCCAUGGGACUCUGACUUGAAAGCCUUUGUGUGUUCACUAGAUAGGCUGCUAAAUAUGGCUAUUGCUGAUAUUUCUUCUACACAAUCUGUCCAUUCACAUUCUACCUGAUUGUGAGUACCUCCAUUCUACAAAACGGUUCUACUGGUGGAAGAUGUUGUGGAGUUUCAACAUUUUUCAUAGAUCUCAAUUUCGCACUGCAAAUCCCUUUUCAGACUCAUGUUGAUUGAUGACUCAUGAAGACUUCAAUUUGAAUAUGGAAAUCACGAAGAAAACACGCUUCUUUUAAUAAGUUUAAUAUGUUGGUAAAGUUUGUGUUAGAAGUUCACUUGGAAAUUCAAAUGUUUCUUAGUUUUUAUGCCCCCCUUCGAAGAAGAGGGGGUAUAUUGUUUUGCCCAUGUCGGUCGGUCGGUCCGUACGUCCGUCAGUCCGUCCACCAGAUGGUUUCCGGAUGAUAAGUCAAGAACGCUUAGGUCUAGGAUCAUGAAACUUAAUACAUAGAUUGAUCAUGACUAGCAGAUGACCCCUUUUGAUUUUUAGGUCACUAGGUCAAAGGUCAAGGUCACAGUGACUCGAAAUAGUAAAAUGGUUUCCGGAUGAUAACUCAAGAAUGCUCAGGUCUAGGAUCAUGAAACUUUAUAGGUACAUUGAUCAUGACUAGCAGAUGAACCCUAUUGAUUUUCAGGUCACUUGGUCAAAGGUCAAGGUCACAGUGAUUCUAAACAGUAAAAUGGUUUACGGAUGAUAACUCAAGAAUGCUUACGCCUAGUUUUGUUUUGUUUUUCUCUUUUGUAUCCUUUAUAUGUAAAAUGAAACAGUGUUUUGGUCAAAAGAAGCCCUUUUGUAUUUAUUGUUUUAUAUCCAACUUUCCAAUAAAACAAUUGAAAUUAGCUUUUAAUCAAUUGCAGAGUAAGUAUCGUAAGAAUUAUUGUAGUAAUUGUUACAAUAUAAUAACAGUGUUUUCAAGUACUAAUGUAGGUCUUUGUUAGGUUAUUAUUUAUGCCCCCCUUCGAAGAAGAGGGGGUAUAUUGUUUUGCACAUGUCGGUCUGUCUGUCUGUAUGUAUGUAUGUAUGUCCGUCCAUCAGAUGGUUUUCGGAUGAUAACUCAAGAACGCAUACGCCUAGGAUCAUGAAACUUCAUAGGUAGAUUGAUCAUGACUCGCACAUGACCCCUAUUGAUUUUGAGGUCACUAGGUCAAUGUCACGGUGACCCGAAAUUAUAGUAAAAUGGUUUCCGGAUGAUGACUCAAGAACACAUACGCCUAGGAUCAUGAAACCUCAUUGUUAGAUAGAUAAUGACUCGCAGAUGACCCCUAUUGAUUUUGAGGUCACUAGGUCAAAGGUCACGGUGACCCAAAAUAGUAAAAUGGUUUUCGGAUGAUACUCAAGAACGCUUACGCCUAGGUUCAUGAAACUUCAUAGGUAUAUUGAUCAUGACUCGCAGAUGACUCAUAUUGAUUUUCAGGUCAAAGGUCAAGGUCACGGUGACCCGAAACAGUAAAAUUGAUUCUGGAUGAUAACUCAAGAACGCUUUUGCCUAGGAUCAUGACACUUCAUAGGUACAUUGAUCAUGACUCGCAGAUGACCCCUAUUGAUUUUCAGGUCAAUAGGUCAAAGGUCAAGGUCACAGUGACAAAAAACGUAUUCACACAAUGGCUGCCACUGCAACAGACAGCCCAUAUGGGGGGCAUGCAUGUUUUUCAAACAGCCCUUGUAACAAUCAAAUUGUAUGUAACGUUCAUUUAUCAUGUUAUACCCAUAAU
This is an RNA transcript of Dreissena polymorpha, 2571 nucleotides long. It is a transcript of the gene named G-protein-signaling modulator 2-like, with no coding region annotated. Lineage: Eukaryota; Metazoa; Mollusca; Bivalvia; Myida; Dreissenidae. The record is from RefSeq and is a predicted model, not a curated record. The transcript has 3 exons.